GGGGGGGGGGGGGGUUAUUCGAUAUAUUCAUAUCAGGUUGUUUCCGGUCAGAAGGAAAAGUUGUAACAGAGAAGCCCAAGAACUGCAACCACAUGAAAUGCAGAGACUCAAACUUUCUGAAGAUGCAAUGAGGAGGCUUCUAACAUCCUAUAAGAUGAUGCUAGAUUUUUAUGGAAUGAAGCUAAAGAAUGAGGAGGACGGUACGAUUGUAAGAGCUUAAAACUGGAAGGAAAGAUUUGAACACCUUAACAGAUCUGAACAUAACCACUGGCGAAUAACAAGAGUUCUUAAGUGUCUUGGCGAGUUUGACUUUGAACAUUUAAAAAAGAACUUCACAAAAUUCAUUCUUAAGGAAGCGGUUCUGAAAGGAACACUACCAAAUUUGAUAGAGUGUUGCCUUAAUUACUGGAUCGCCGUAUUGAGAAUAAAGCAUGAAAGAGAAGAAAUGUACGAGUAUUACGAAAAAUUAACUAAAAGUUCAAGCUUUAAGAUGAUGUAAAAAUUGACCCAUAGCCAAGGUUUGUAACAGCAUCAACAUUAUGGCAAUGCCUAGCAACAAGACAUCCGUCCGCUGAAUCGGCUGCUUUAUCUCUACAACCUCAAAAGGGGUAAACUAGAUUCUACAAAAAUGACCUUCACGAAGACCAAAGAAACUGAAAGGGAAUUUCGAAACCAAUUUAGAAUGUUAUCAAAAGAAACUGCAAACAGGAAAGCCGAAUAUAUUAGGUAUUAUUAACGAUUGAACUCGUUUCCGAAAAAGGAAAUAAAUAAAUUGUUCAACAGUAUAACCGAAGGAACAAUAUGUUAUGUAAUGAAAUCUAAGUAAUCUAACGUUAGUUUUCAAACACUAAUUGUCGCAAAAUAAACAAAUGAUGUUUUGCGAUUGCGCACAGAGAUAAUGUUUUAACUGUUUUCGUUAAUGGUGGUGUUGCGAUUCAUGUGGUUUAGCUGCGUACUUAGCUUGUGUUUAGUUUUUAUUCUCAACACCCAUAGGCGCAGAGUAUUUGUGACUGGCUUUUGUGAGUGCAACGUAUGUCAUAAAUUACGAAAUAACAAAUAACGACUGUUUUAUCAACAUUUACAGUUUAUGCCCCAUUUGUUACAAUAAGUUUGCAGGAAAUCCUAAAUAUGAAUCUUUAAUGACUUAAACGUGGACCUUUCAAUGAAAAGGUUGACGAUACAUACCAAGACAUGGAACAUUUGAAAUGUAUCAAUUGCAUGCAAUUCACCAAACGUGCAAACAAAUUACAGAUUAUUAAUAGUUACAUUUGUUAUUUGCGCUGAACGUUUGACAAUAGUACUAAAUAUGUAAUCAAGCAGCACUUCCGGGUUUCAGAUAAUGAUGAAAAGAAAACAUCCUCAAUUUGUCCAGUUAAAGUGGUACUUUCAUGUUUUAUGUAAGCCAGUUCCUGUAUUUAUUUCAUAAUAGACUUAUACUUGACAUUUUGGUAGCAUCUUAAAGGCGAUUUUUUGCAUUUAUAAAAAUAUAAACAAACCUUAUUACACACAUUUUAGCUGUCAGUUUGGAAAAUAUUCCAUAGUGUUGACCUAUCAGACAAACACAUCACUUAGAAGAUACAUGACCCUAAUGUUAUUGUUGCCUUUUUGUAGUUUAUAGGCCAUUUAAGAACAUAAAACUAGUAUUUUUUUUUAAAUGAGCCUGGCUAUGUGUUACAGCUCUCAGAGGAUUGUUAAUUUUAUACAGAAUAUAUAGCAAAUUUAUUUAUAAACUACAUCCUUUGGGUAAUCGCGCAGUGCAGUGGGAAUUUGCUACGUAGAGAGAUUUGUCUCUAUGUCUCUCCAGCUGUGUCUCAUUGCUUUCAGAGGAUCCUUUCACAUAUUAUUAUGUGCCGUGUCACGUCUGUAAAAAGAAUCUCCGUGUUGGUAAAUUGUGUGGUCCUUUGUUAUCAUAGAGAGCAUUCAAUUUUACUAUGAUAGAUCUCCGCUUCAGCCGGUACUAGGAGGCGUGAGGGGGUUUACACAUUUCAUUACCUCUCAAGAAGAGACUCAAUUAAACAGAGUCUACUUGUAUGUUGCUUGACUGUGUUCUUUGCUUCCAAAGGAUCUUUGUAUAUAUUUAAUUGAUUGUGUUGAGCAUGUUUGAAAGAAUUAUGUCACACGUGAAGUUAGCCACAUUACUGACAAAAUAAUGCAAAGGUGAUAAAUGAUUUUUGUAAAAAGUUCAUUAUUUUUUAGAAGAUCAACCUGAAUUGUAUAUCAUUUCAGAAGAAACACAUGGCCACACAUCCAGUCAUAUAUAAUAGUUAAUUUUGGUUAAUUGUCUCUGUGAUACAUGUUAUUGAGAUGUUAUUACUAUUAUUAUAACCAUAUUUACAUGUUUUCACCAAUUGUAUAAUUUUAGACCUAAUAGUAUCAACAUUCCGUGUUUACUUGUAAAAUUGUACGACACUUUGUGUUUAUUAUUUUGAAAUAACAAGUUGCAGAGGCUAUGAUAACUAAUAAUUUUAGAUCAGUUAUUUCAAAUAAAGAAUUACCACGUC
This is a long non-coding RNA of Mercenaria mercenaria, 2501 nucleotides long. RefSeq lists it as uncharacterized. The record is from RefSeq and is a predicted model, not a curated record. Lineage: Eukaryota; Metazoa; Mollusca; Bivalvia; Venerida; Veneridae. The transcript has 3 exons.